AUUAUAAAAAGGGGACUACAAUCCUAGAGUUGGACUCAAGCACAAGCAUUUCUCAUUAUUUUGCAGAAGACACUAAGGUUUUCAGAAAUUAAAUUGCUUUUUGGAAAAGGUGGGAGAUUCUGGGAACAUAGAAACUUGAAUCCAGUUUUCUUCAACUCCACGUCAAGACAGUUGCAUUGUGUGAGAAAAUAGCUACGGCCAUUUGUGUAACUGAUCUGAUAAUGUCAACUUUUGAAAACAGAUAGUUAUGACUCAAGGCUUUGAGAAUGUAAAGAGACCACCUUCACAUGUUGAGAAAUGGUACGAUUUCACGUUAUCAGUGCAGUUCUGUUCUCAGGGGGAAAGCCCAUCUGUACUACCAGGAGACUGGAUCCUCAAAGUAGACACUUGGUCUCAUGAAGCCACUGCUGGGCUCCAGAGAGAAGGAAAAACUAAGAGGUUUUAAAACCCCCACCCUCCUUGGUUUACCUCCAUCAUUAAAAAACAACAAUGACAACAACAAAAAAAACAAAACUAAAAUGACUUAUUAUUUAUUAAUUAUGUUGUGGCAGACAAUACACUGAACAUUAGGCAUAAUUAAAUUCUUUUUAAAAAUUGAUAAUUUAUCUCUGUUUUAUAGAAGUGUGAAACUGUCAGGAAGACAGAUGAAAUGAUUUGCCUGAGGCCGUAUCAUCAAACAAGAAAUUCAUAUUCACCUUUCUGGAAUUCUUAGGAUAA
This 717-nucleotide long non-coding RNA is filed under the name Pan paniscus (pygmy chimpanzee). RNAcentral describes it as "lncRNA (ENSPPAG00000045159.1)". The record is from RNAcentral. Lineage: Eukaryota; Metazoa; Chordata; Mammalia; Primates; Hominidae.